UUCAGUGUAUUUGGCUAAUGUUAUGCUGUUAUUUUACUAGACUGUAAUUCUAUGGGUCAAGCGCCACCUUUUCCUAAUAUAUGGAUCCAUAUUGCACCCCGAUCAUCACAUCUGUUUAACUCCUGGGCUUCUGAAUGACUGCACUUACUGAACCUCUCAUUUAUUAUACUGCAAGCUGGAAAGCACUUACACGCCUGUCGCUGUUCCUGCUGCUGACUUAAUUCCUGACGGUCCUGAAGAGCUUCAUUUGAGAAUACAAUGUAUCUUCCUCUUCAUUUUCCUCAAAUAUCAGGGUAGUAUAAAAUAGAAAAAAAAAACAAGAAAA
Molecule: long non-coding RNA, 325 nt
Organism: Spea bombifrons (plains spadefoot toad)
Lineage: Eukaryota; Metazoa; Chordata; Amphibia; Anura; Pelobatidae
Exons: 2
Source: RefSeq, a predicted model, not a curated record